RNAcentral lists this transfer RNA (94 nucleotides) under Ipomoea nil (Japanese morning glory). It matches the Rfam family "tRNA". From Rfam's summary of the family: Transfer RNA (tRNA) molecules are approximately 80 nucleotides in length. Their secondary structure includes four short double-helical elements and three loops (D, anti-codon, and T loops). The record is from Rfam by way of RNAcentral. Lineage: Eukaryota; Viridiplantae; Streptophyta; Magnoliopsida; Solanales; Convolvulaceae.
CCGACCUUAGCUCAGUUGGUAGAGUGGUGGACUGUAGUUGGACUAAUCUAAAUUGGAAAUCCUUAGGUCGCUGGUUUGAUUCCGGCAGGUUGGA